UGCAAGUCGAACGGCAGCACGGGGGCAACCCUGGUGGCGAGUGGCGAACGGGUGAGUAAUACAUCGGAACGUGCCCAGUCGUGGGGGAUAACGUAGCGAAAGCUACGCUAAUACCGCAUACGAUCUAAGGAUGAAAGCGGGGGACCGUAAGGCCUCGCGCGAUUGGAGCGGCCGAUGGCAGAUUAGGUAGUUGGUGGGGUAAAGGCUCACCAAGCCUGCGAUCUGUAGCUGGUCUGAGAGGACGACCAGCCACACUGGGACUGAGACACGGCCCAGACUCCUACGGGAGGCAGCAGUGGGGAAUUUUGGACAAUGGGCGCAAGCCUGAUCCAGCCAUUCCGCGUGCAGGAUGAAGGCCUUCGGGUUGUAAACUGCUUUUGUACGGAGCGAAAAGGUCUUCUCUAAUACAGGGGGCUCAUGACGGUACCGUAAGAAUAAGCACCGGCUAACUACGUGCCAGCAGCCGCGGUAAUACGUAGGGUGCAAGCGUUAAUCGGAAUUACUGGGCGUAAAGCGUGCGCAGUCGGUGAUGUAAGACAGAUGUGAAAUCCCCGGGCUCAACCUGGGAACUGCAUUUGUGACUGCAUCGCUAGAGUGCGGCAGAGGGGGAUGGAAUUCCGCGUGUAGCAGUGAAAUGCGUAGAUAUGCGGAGGAACACCGAUGGCGAAGGCAAUCCCCUGGGCCUGCACUGACGCUCAUG
This 700-nucleotide ribosomal RNA is filed under the name uncultured bacterium. Its description in RNAcentral is "bacterial SSU rRNA". It matches the Rfam family "Bacterial small subunit ribosomal RNA", at positions 56 to 751 of the family's 1533-position model. The record is from RNAcentral.